AAGAAGGGAUUGGCCUCUUAGGAGGGGUGAGAGGAGAGAGACCGGCGAUGGGGAGGGAUUGUGAUGCUGUGAAGAAGAAGCAGAAUCCAGCUGCUGAUGUGAACGGAGUUUUGAAAAGGUAGGGUUUUGAAGAGCAGGUGAAUUCGGGUACGAUUGGAGCAUUGUGGGAUUCAACUUGUUUCUUUAAAACUGCUAAUUGAUAGGAGAAAAUAUGUAAUAUCCCACAUCGGCCA
RNAcentral lists this long non-coding RNA (233 nucleotides) under Fragaria vesca (wild strawberry). RNAcentral's name for it is "long non-coding RNA (FVES_LNC003069)". Lineage: Eukaryota; Viridiplantae; Streptophyta; Magnoliopsida; Rosales; Rosaceae. The record is from RNAcentral.